Molecule: ribosomal RNA, 739 nt
Filed under: uncultured bacterium
Lineage: Bacteria
Description: bacterial SSU rRNA
Rfam family: Bacterial small subunit ribosomal RNA
Source: RNAcentral
GCGGGCGAGGUUGCUUCGGUAACUGAGCUAGCGGCGGACGGGUGAGUAAUGCUUAGGAAUCUGCCUAUUAGUGGGGGACAACAUUCCGAAAGGAAUGCUAAUACCGCAUACGCCCUACGGGGGAAAGCAGGGGAUCUUCGGACCUUGCGCUAAUAGAUGAGCCUAAGUCAGAUUAGCUAGUUGGUGGGGUAAAGGCCUACCAAGGCGACGAUCUGUAGCGGGUCUGAGAGGAUGAUCCGCCACACUGGGACUGAGACACGGCCCAGACUCCUACGGGAGGCAGCAGUGGGGAAUAUUGGACAAUGGGCGCAAGCCUGAUCCAGCCAUGCCGCGUGUGUGAAGAAAGCCUUUUGGUUGUAUAGCACUUUAAGCGAGGAGGAGGCUACUUGGAUUAAUACUCUAGGAUAGUGGACGUUACUCGCAGAAUAAGCACCGGCUAACUCUGUGCCAGCAGCCGCGGUAAUACAGAGGGUGCGAGCGUUAAUCGGAUUUACUGGGCGUAAAGCGUGCGUAGGCGGCUUCUUAAGUCGGAUGUGAAAUCCCUGAGCUUAACUUAGGAAUUGCAUUCGAUACUGGGAAGCUAGAGUAUGGGAGAGGAUGGUAGAAUUCCAGGUGUAGCGGUGAAAUGCGUAGAGAUCUGGAGGAAUACCGAUGGCGAAAGCAGCCAUCUGGCCUAAUACUGACGCUGAGGUACGAAAGCAUGGGGAGCAAACAGGAUUAGAUACCCUGGUAGUCCAUG